RNAcentral lists this long non-coding RNA (1436 nucleotides) under Homo sapiens (human). RNAcentral describes it as "HSALNT0037126". Lineage: Eukaryota; Metazoa; Chordata; Mammalia; Primates; Hominidae. The record is from RNAcentral.
CUCAGCAAGGCCUGUCUGUUCAGAUUCUUUUUGGCCUCUCUGUGUGGCAAUCCUUCCUCCCAGCUAUAGAGCAGAGACCUUCUGGAAUGAAGAUCUUAUGAUCUACUUUCAGACAUGGCAGCUCAGAGAAUUUCUUUACAGCCAGCUCUUGCCCAGAAAGAUGCUGUUGUUAGAGACCAAAUACACCACCCCUAAAUAUGCUGGAAAAGUUACCCUUUCAAAGAGGAUUUACAUCUGUAAAGGAAAUCUCCAUUCCUGCACCAGGAAGAGAAGGAUGACUAAAUCCUUCGAGAUGUAUCUAUGGAGAAGAAAAUGAUAUUUCAGCCCAAAGUUUCAACUCCCUCUUGGAUCUACCCUAGAGAUUUGCUCAGCUCACUGUGUAACUCCCAUGGAUAUACAAGGUAUCCACGCUAUUUAAUAUUCAACUUGUUUGUUUUUCUCCUGUUGAUCUGUCUUGUGUUCCAGGGCAUCCCAGCUAAGAACUCAUGAAGGGUAGAGAGAAAACUGUUUUUCCUCUCUUUCAUUUUGGGGGGCUGUUCCCAGAGAUCAAAGAUGAGCCCUGCAAACUGUCUACCCUACUCCAGAGGCUGACCUAAGACUGGAAGCCCCCCUCUUCCCUGGACACCUGUAGGAUGCAUUCCAUGGUUCAGCUGGCUAGUCUCUGAGGGACACUUAGAGGAUUUGACAGGUCCAGCUACAUCAGAUCAUUGGAAUUGGCAUGAAAAAGAGCUUCUGGGCCUUACAUAGGUUUUUCCAAAGAGUGGGGAAACCCCAAGGAAUUCUGUAACCUUAAAAUAAACUGAGAUUCAUUAGUGCAGAAACACAGAAAGCUGUCUUCUGAGUCUCGGAAACUAAGAUUUUAGAUGAAGUUAAUUUUCUUAUAAAAGAAUACAAUAUUAUUGUAAAUAAUUUAGAGAUUGCAUAUAAGACAAAGAAGAAAAUAAAAUGAGCUAUAUCCGUUCCUCCAGCCAUCAACACCUUCCACAUUUGUGGCACAUCCUUUCAGGAUGUAUGUGUGUGUGUGGGAGGGGGGUGCUUACCUGUGUGUAGUAACUUCAUGUUAUACAUAUGCCUUUUUCCCUCAAGGGUGACCACUGUUGUUGCCCAGGCUGGAGUGCAAUGGCGCGAUCUUGGCUCACCACAACCUCUGCCUCCUGGAUUCAAGCGAUUCUGCUGCCUCAGCCUCCCAAGUAGCUGGGAUUACAGGUGCCCACUACCACACCUGGCUAAUUUUUUUGUAUUUUUAAUAGAAACAGGGUUUCACCAUGUUGGUCAGGCUGGUCUCGAACUCCUGAACUCAUGUGAUCUGCCCCCCCCUCACCCGCCCCUUGGCCUCCCAAAGUGCUAGGAUUACAGGCGUGGGCCAUGACCUGCUUUUUAUUAUCAAUCUAUAAUUAUAUGUAUUGUUCCUAUAUCAUUAAAUAUUCUCCUUUGAC